CGACGUAGGUAACCUACCUGGUAGCGGGGGAUAACUAUUGGAAACGAUAGCUAAUACCGCAUAAGAGUAGAUGUUGCAUGACAUUUGCUUAAAAGGUGCAAUUGCAUCACUACCAGAUGGACCUGCGUUGUAUUAGCUAGUUGGUGGGGUAACGGCUCACCAAGGCGACGAUACAUAGCCGACCUGAGAGGGUGAUCGGCCACACUGGGACUGAGACACGGCCCAG
Molecule: ribosomal RNA, 226 nt
Filed under: uncultured Streptococcaceae bacterium
Lineage: Bacteria; Bacillati; Bacillota; Bacilli; Lactobacillales; Streptococcaceae
Description: partial 16S ribosomal RNA
Rfam family: Bacterial small subunit ribosomal RNA
Source: RNAcentral